Molecule: ribosomal RNA, 301 nt
Filed under: uncultured bacterium
Lineage: Bacteria
Description: partial 16S ribosomal RNA
Rfam family: Bacterial small subunit ribosomal RNA
Source: RNAcentral
CAGUAGCCGCGGUAAUACGGAGGGUGCAAGCGUUAAUCGGAAUUACUGGGCGUAAAGCGCACGCAGGCGGUCUGACAAGUCAGAUGUGAAAUCCCCGGGCUUAACCUGGGAACUGCAUUUGAAACUGUCAGGCUGGAGUCUUGUAGAGGGGGGUAGAAUUCCAGGUGUAGCGGUGAUAUGCGUAGAGAUCUGGAGGAAUACCGGUGGCGAAGGCGGCCCCCUGGACAAAGACUGACGCUCAGGUGCGAAAGCGUGGGGAGCAAACAGGAUUAGAUACCCGCGUAGUCCCUGUCUCUUAUAC